AACUCAAAGGAAUUGACGGACCCGCAUAAGCGGUGGAUCAUGUUGUUUAAUUCGAUGAUACGCGAAGAACCUUACCAGGUCUUGACAUCCCCCGCGAUGCUUUAGAGAUAAAGCGGAGGUAUUCGGGGAGACAGGUGGUGCAUGGUUGUCGUCAGCUCGUGUCGUGAGAUGUUGGGUUAAGUCCCGUAACGAGCGCAACCCUUGUCCUUAGUUACCAGCACGUUAUGGUGGGCACUCUAAGGAGACUGCCGGUGACAAACCGGAGGAAGGUGGGGAUGACGUCAAGUCAUCAUGGCCCUUACGGCCUGGGCUACACACGUGCUACAAUGGUCGGUACAAAGGGUUGCCAAGCCGCGAGGUGGAGCUAAUCCCAUAAAACCGAUCGUAGUCCGGAUCGCAGUCUGCAACUCGACUGCGUGAAGUCGGAAUCGCUAGUAAUCGUGAAUCAGCCAUGGCGCGGUGAAUACGUUCCCGGGCCUU
RNAcentral lists this ribosomal RNA (480 nucleotides) under uncultured Pseudomonas sp. RNAcentral's name for it is "bacterial SSU rRNA". It matches the Rfam family "Bacterial small subunit ribosomal RNA", at positions 898 to 1382 of the family's 1533-position model. Lineage: Bacteria; Pseudomonadati; Pseudomonadota; Gammaproteobacteria; Pseudomonadales; Pseudomonadaceae. The record is from RNAcentral.